GAAGGAUUAGUUAAAUACAUAACAUCAGAAUGUCAAACUGAAAUAAUCGACGAGAUAUCCUUCU
RNAcentral lists this transfer RNA (64 nucleotides) under Odontotermes sp. D TB-2017. RNAcentral's name for it is "tRNA-Asp". The record is from RNAcentral. Lineage: Eukaryota; Metazoa; Arthropoda; Insecta; Blattodea; Termitidae.